This 425-nucleotide ribosomal RNA is filed under the name uncultured bacterium. RNAcentral's name for it is "bacterial SSU rRNA". It matches the Rfam family "Bacterial small subunit ribosomal RNA", at positions 354 to 796 of the family's 1533-position model. The record is from RNAcentral.
GUGGGGAAUAUUGCGCAAUGGGGGCAACCCUGACGCAGCAACGCCGCGUGCGGGACGACGGCCUUCGGGUUGUAAACCGCUUUCAGCAGGGAAGAUCGUGACGGUACCUGCAGAAGAAGCCCCGGCUAACUACGUGCCAGCAGCCGCGGUAAUACGUAGGGGGCGAGCGUUAUCCGGAUUCAUUGGGCGUAAAGCGCGCGCAGGCGGCCCGCCAAGCGGAACCUCUAACCCCGGGGCUCAACCUCGGGCCGGGUUCCGGACUGGCGGGCUCGAGUGCGGUAGAGGCAGGCGGAAUUCCCGGUGUAGCGGUGGAAUGCGCAGAUAUCGGGAAGAACACCGAUGGCGAAGGCAGCCUGCUGGGCCGUUCACUGACGCUGAGGCGCGAAAGCUGGGGGAGCGAACAGGAUUAGAAACCCUAGUAGUCC